Molecule: long non-coding RNA, 825 nt
Filed under: Sarcophilus harrisii (Tasmanian devil)
Lineage: Eukaryota; Metazoa; Chordata; Mammalia; Dasyuromorphia; Dasyuridae
Description: lncRNA (ENSSHAG00000025277.1)
Source: RNAcentral
GAGCCCGGGGAGGACCGGCCAAAGGGGGAAGGCUGAGGGAAGACUGGGGGCCUGUCCGGCCCCCGGUUUAGGGGCCCCACGAGCUAGUAGGCGGAUGGAUGAAGCUGCACCCCCAGUCGCUGUGCUUGGAGAUCGAGGCCAUUCGGCAGAGACAAGAGCUGGGGGCCAGCCUCCUCAACCCUCUGUGUGGUUCCCAGCCUUGGGGAGAGCCCCUGGAGGGCCCCGGAGGAACGGGGGCCCCCACUGAGGAGCCGAACACAAGCUCAGAGAAGCCGCAUGAAUCGCACAGCAGCUGGAAGGAGGAGAAUUCCUGGUCACUCAAAGAGAGGGAUGGUCAAAGAGCCGACGAGACGGGGACAAAGCCCCAAGACACGGCCGGACACCCAACCACCCUCUGGGGACCCCGGCCCGACGAUAGGACCCGCCCUGAUGCUGGGAGCAGCCCCAAGGAGCCAGCUGUCCAUCAGGCCUCGGAGCCUGUAAUGAGCCAACUGGUUUCGGCUGAGAGGAGGACAGGCUGGGGACAGAUCUACCCUCUCCCUUUGGCUGCCCCGAGACACAGGACUCCCACCUUUUCAGGGGCCCAGCCUCCCAUCCUGGGCCUCCUGUUCCUGCUGCUGCUGCUCUCUUUCCUGGUCCUGGUCUCCUCCAGGCCUCUGGCCUGGCCCCAACUCCAGCUGCACUACCUCCAGACCCCACCAGUGUGAGCCCCGAAGUCUCUGAUCCAAUAAACUCCCUCCAUGCCCCAUCCUCGAGUGCUGUUCUUGGGGGGAGGGCGGCAGCACAGGGAGUGAGUUACUUGGGUGCUGGCAUCCUGGAACCGGG